RNAcentral lists this ribosomal RNA (253 nucleotides) under uncultured bacterium. RNAcentral's name for it is "partial 16S ribosomal RNA". It matches the Rfam family "Bacterial small subunit ribosomal RNA", at positions 524 to 776 of the family's 1533-position model. The record is from RNAcentral.
UACAGAGGGGGCAAGCGUUGUUCGGAAUUACUGGGCGUAAAGGGCGCGUAGGCGGCCCGCUAAGUCGAACGUGAAAUCCCCAGGCUCAACCUGGGAACUGCGUCCGAGACUGGAAGGCUCGAAUCCGGGAGAGGGAUGUGGAAUUCCAGGUGUAGCGGUGAAAUGCGUAGAUAUCUGGAGGAACAUCGGUGGCGAAGGCGGCAUCCUGGACCGGUAUUGACGCUGAGGCGCGAAAGCCAGGGGAGCAAACGGG